UACGGAGGGGGGCUAGCGUUGUUCGGAAUUACUGGGCGUAAAGCGCACGUAGGCGGACUGUUAAGUCGGGGGUGAAAUCCUGGGGCUCAACCUCAGAAUUGCCUCCGAUACUGGCAGUCUCGAGUGCGGGAGAGGUGAGUGGAAUUCCCAGUGUAGAGGUGAAAUUCGUAGAUAUUGGGAAGAACACCAGUGGCGAAGGCGGCUCACUGGCCCGUAACUGACGCUGAGGUGCGAAAGCGUGGGGAGCAAACAGG
This 254-nucleotide ribosomal RNA is filed under the name uncultured bacterium. RNAcentral describes it as "partial 16S ribosomal RNA". It matches the Rfam family "Bacterial small subunit ribosomal RNA", at positions 524 to 776 of the family's 1533-position model. The record is from RNAcentral.